This 493-nucleotide long non-coding RNA is filed under the name Astyanax mexicanus (Mexican tetra). Its description in RNAcentral is "lncRNA (ENSAMXG00005011053.1)". Lineage: Eukaryota; Metazoa; Chordata; Actinopteri; Characiformes; Acestrorhamphidae. The record is from RNAcentral.
GACUGUAUAAAGCUGUAAAUAUGGUUAUAAUAAACUGCAUGUUUCUGUGUGUGUGUUUUUUCUGCAGUCUGAGGUGGAGAGAGCACGUUUCUGUGGAGACUUGUUGAGGACUGUAAACACUGAUACAGCAUACAAAGCUCAGCUCAGAGUUUUCAUCAGUAAAGGCAGUUCUGUCUUACAGCAGCUCUACAGGAGAGAGGAAAACACGGGUCCACACUGUUACUUUGGCCAGCUCCCAGAACCUGCUGGACACGUUCCGAACCAGCCAAGCUGAGACACUGCUUACUUUCUACUGCAAAAAGAGUAAGCUAAAGCUAAAACCUUAACACAUCUACUCUUAUAUCAAAAUAAUUAAACAACGUGUAUAGAAUUAGGAUGCAGCUUUACCUAUCCUUGGCACUCCCCCAGUAUUGGGACACCUGCUUUUUUAUUGGUUCUUCUAAAAUCAGGCAUGUUAAAUAAAGAGUUUUGCUUGCUUUUGUUGGAGUAACUC